GCCGAGACCAGAGUCUCACCCGGGCAUGGCGUUGCCCCGGCGUGCUGGGGGCCUCGGAGAGCAGCUGCUGGCCUAUUCGCCGGCCGGGGCCCCAUGGCCGGGCCGGUCUCCAGGCCAGGGACAGGC
Molecule: small nucleolar RNA, 126 nt
Filed under: Erinaceus europaeus (western European hedgehog)
Lineage: Eukaryota; Metazoa; Chordata; Mammalia; Eulipotyphla; Erinaceidae
Description: Small nucleolar RNA SNORA3/SNORA45 family
Rfam family: Small nucleolar RNA SNORA3/SNORA45 family
About the family: The members of this family belong to the H/ACA class of snoRNAs which are thought to guide the sites of modification of uridines to pseudouridines. This family includes mouse snoMBI-28 and human homologues ACA3 (SNORA3) and ACA3-2 (SNORA45). Both ACA3 and ACA3-2 share the same host gene.
Source: Rfam by way of RNAcentral